RNAcentral lists this ribosomal RNA (167 nucleotides) under Vairimorpha ceranae. RNAcentral's name for it is "Nosema ceranae partial small subunit ribosomal RNA". It matches the Rfam family "Microsporidia small subunit ribosomal RNA", at positions 1 to 173 of the family's 1311-position model. The record is from RNAcentral. Lineage: Eukaryota; Fungi; Microsporidia; Nosematidae.
CACCAGGUUGAUUCUGCCUGACGUAGACGCUAUUCCCUAAAGAUUAACCCAUGCAUGUUUUUGACAUUUGAAAAAUGGACUGCUCAGUAAUACUCACUUUAUUUUAUGUAAAUUUUUAAUUAACUACGUUAAAGUGUAGAUAAGAUGUUUACAGUAAGAGUGAGACC